Long non-coding RNA from Macaca mulatta (Rhesus monkey), 2653 nucleotides. NCBI's taxonomy places the organism in Eukaryota, Metazoa, Chordata, Mammalia, Primates, Cercopithecidae. The record is from Ensembl.
UUCCAAGGAAAUGAUCCAAAGGGCGAAGAAGGGGGAGAACUUGCAGAAAGAUGUUAACAGCAGGGCUAUUCACAGUGAUCGUGAUGACCAAAACCUGGGAAUGGACCCAGUUGUCCAACAACUGAGUAACACAAACAAGCGCCGUCACAUUGACAGCAAGAACCCUGGCAGGUUAGUUGAAACCACCCCUAGCUGGACUAAUGCAGGAAGAGGCCCCGAUGAUCCAUCCAAUACAGCUUUUCCCUUUCAGAUAGUAACACUGACUUCACGACCAGAGAGUCCUUUAAGUCUAUACUGAGCUACUCAUUCAGACCUCCGCAGAGGCCGCCAGGAGAACAGACGGAGCUAGACACUCCCACUUAUGCACUGGAGCAAAAUAAUGAGAUCAUCUAUGAUUAUGGAUUAUUUUUCUGAUGACAAAAUAAUAUGCAAGGCAAAGGAGCACUCUGUCUAGCGGGGCGUUGGUGGCGUGCGCCUGUAGUCCCAGCUACCCCUGAGGCUGAGGUGGAGGCCGCCUCCGUUGAGCCCAGGAGGCCAAGGCUGCAGUGAGCUGUGAUCACACCAGUGCACUCCAGCCUGGGCAACAGAGUGAGAUUCUGUCUCAAAAAGAAACCCAAAAAAACCAAAGAAAACAAAACACUAUGUGGUUCUCAGUUUCCAAAUUAAUUUUGACUGUUGUAUAUUUGUAUGUAGCUUGGUGGAAUAAUAGGAAGCCAUGGUCCAAAUACUGGACAUGAAAACCUUAUUUUAAGAGUAGUGAUCAACAAGAUAUAUAUCCUAGGCAUCUUCUACAUGUAUGUAUUUAUAUAGACCAGAAAAAGCCAUGGUACAGAAGAUUUUUACCCAAGACCUAUCCCGUUGUCUACCUGGAAGAAGAGAAAAUGAAUCUGUUGAUAUGAGUUAAACCUUUUUGCAGGAUGGGGUAGGGGGGAGGUUAGUACAACAAUUCUUAUUUUCAAAAGUAAUGCACAAAUGCAUUCUUGUAAAAGUUCAAACGAGGGCCGGGCGCGGUGGCUCAAGCCUGUAAUCCCAGCACUUUGGGAGGCCGAGACGGGCGGAUCACGAGGUCAGGAGACCGAGACCAUCCUGGCUAACACGGUGAAACCCCUGAAACCCCGUCUCUACUAAAAAAUACAAAAAACUAGCCGGGCGAGGUGGCAGGCGCCUGUAGUCCCAGCUACUCGGGAGGCUGAGGCAGGAGAAUGGCGUAAACCCAGGACGGGGAGCUUGCAGUGAGCUGAGAUCGUGCCACUGCACUCCAGCCUGGGCGACAGAGCGAAACUCCGUCUCAAAAAAAAAAAAAAAGUUCAAACGAACCACAAAUAUAUGGAACAUAAUCUAAAAUUUACUCUUCCAACUCUAUUUCCACAUACAUUCUUGUAUCACUCAAGGCCUUUGGCCAUCGUCAUACAUAUGUAUUAUAGAUACACAUUACCUUUUCCCUACAGACAUGAAAUUACACCAUAUUAUGGUGUUUGGCAACUUGGGUUUUUUCCUCGUUACUAAUAUGUCCUAGAGGCGUGUCCAUGUCUAUAGGCAGAGAUCUGCUUCCUUCCACUUACCUGCUGUCCUCUACUCCACAGUUUGGAUGUGCCACACUGUCAUUAUUCUCUAUAUGAGAGCAUAGUGGUUAAGGAAUAAUUGCCAAAAUCCUGCCCCAAACACACACUUGCUGUGUGGCCCUGAACAAGUUACCGAACUCCUCUGUGUCUCGAUGUCCUCACAAUAUUUGUUAUAAAGUGUUUAGAAUGUGUGCUGGCCCUCAAUCAAUGCUAGAUAUUAUUCAUAUUUUCUCACUGUCACAAUGAUCUAUUGACAUCCUCGUAGCCUCUUUGCAUUCAUAUUUGAAUAGUAUAGAUUCCUAAAAGUGGAAUUGUCAUAACAACGGGUAGGCAUACUGUAAAUACAGAUGCUGCCAACCUGUUAUUUAUUUAUUUAUUUAAGUCAGGGUCACCUUCUGUCCUUCAGACUGGAGUGCAGUGGCAUGAGAGAUCUCGGCUCACUACAACCUCCACCUCUCGGGCUCCGGCAGUCCUCCCACUUCAGCCUCCUGAGUAGCUGGAACUGCAAGCACACACCACUAUGCCUGGCUAAUAUUUGUAUUUUUUGUAGAGACGGGAUUUUUCCUUGUUACCCAGGCUGGUCUCUUAACUUCUGAGCUCAAGCGAUCCACUCACCUCAGCCUCCCGAAGUGCUGGGAUUACAGGGGUGAGUCACAGCGCUGGGCCUCAACCUGGCCUUUAAAAAGAUGCUACCCUUUUACAUUCUCAGCGUGAGUCGAAGACACUGCCCAUUUCCCUUCACCUUUCCCAGUAUUCAAUAUUAUAAAUAUUUUUAAUUGUCGUCAACAAAAUGGGCAAAAAAACGACAUCUUGUUCUGACUUGUAUUCCCUUAAUUACUACUGAAGAUAGGCAUUUUGUAUAUCUAUUUCUUCUGCAAUUACCUGUUUAUAUCUUUUAUCCAUUAGUUUUACCUCUUUUUUGUGAUUUAUAAGAGCUCCUUAUGUAUUUUGGAUAUUCCUCUGUGUUAUAUUAUAAUAAAAUAUUAAAAUGUUACAGUUUGUAAAGAUUUUUUUCCAAUCUGUUGCCUGCCAUUCGGUUUUGUUUUUACCUGUUAUACAGUCAAAUCGGUUGAUAUUGUCCUCUACAGCUU